This 253-nucleotide ribosomal RNA is filed under the name uncultured bacterium. RNAcentral describes it as "partial 16S ribosomal RNA". It matches the Rfam family "Bacterial small subunit ribosomal RNA", at positions 524 to 776 of the family's 1533-position model. The record is from RNAcentral.
UACGUAGGGCGCGAGCGUUGUCCGGAUUUAUUGGGCGUAAAGAGCUCGUAGGCGGUUUGUUGCGUCGGCUGUGAAAUCCCGAGGCUCAACCUCGGGUCUGCAGUCGAUACGAGCAAACUAGAGUGUUGCAGGGGAGACUGGAAUUCCUGGUGUAGCGGUGAAAUGCGCAGAUAUCAGGAGGAACACCGAUGGCGAAGGCAGGUCUCUGGGCCACUACUGACGCUGAGAAGCGAAAGCAUGGGGAGCGAACAGG